GGCGCGCUUGCGCAGAGCGAGGCCCCAGUGCGCAGGCUCGCAGCUGCCUCUGGACUUGGACAGCGACGGGCGAUGGCGUGAACCCGACUGCAGAGGCGGUUGGGGCAGGCCGGGCGGGACCGGCCAGGUGAACAACAGUUGUGUGCUGGCACCCAGGAUACUGAGUAAGCCCUCUGCUUGUCGACAGCAGGACACGAAGGCUCAGUAUCUGCAGAAGCAGUUUCCCCGUGUCUAAUUCGGGCUGGGGGACAGCAUGUCUUCACCUGAGGAUGUCAGAAGAGAACCUGGAAAACAUGAUGGCAGACACGCGGGUGCAGACGACCUGAAUUUGCCUUCUUCCAGUCAGAAAAGGACUCCUGACUCACAGGUUUUAGAAAAUAAAGUUUCCUGAGAACAGUUAAAAGCCUGUCAUCAGAAUUGUGAAUGUCAUCUUCAAGAGACUUCAGAAAGGCACAACUAAGAUGCUUAUGUAAUGAGUUUUCUGCUUAUUCAUAUUCAGAACUGGCCUUGUGAAUAAAGACAGAUGGCCCUCAAAUGUUUGAUAGUUGUCAUGGUAUGUCUCUUUGUAAACCUGAUUUAGCUUUCUUAGAAAUAUGAUGUGUUUAUGAUCUCAUAAAUAGCAUUAACACAUGAAAAAUAUAUUCUUGAGGGAGUGCAUUUCUUUAUCAUCUCAAGAGUUACACAGCUUCAAAUUCUUUUUGUAAAGGCAAUGUACUUAAAGUAGCAUAAAAUUUAGUAUGUUGCUAAAUUGUAUUAGAAAUUUAGUUUAUUUCCAGCAAGAAAAUUAUGUACUAGAAAUAAUAGGUCUGUUAGUAUAGUGAAUUCUUAGUAGUACAUGUGAAAAAAUAAAUUUAAAGAAUAUUUAAAAAGUGAAAAUUUUUUUUGACAGGCGGAGUGGACAGUGAGAGAGAGAGAGACAGAGAGAAAGGUCUUCCUUUUCCAUUGGUUCAUCCCCCAAUGGCCGCUGCGGCCAGCGCCCUGCGGCUGGUGCACCACGCCAAUCCGAAGCCAGGAGCCAGGUGCUUCUCCUGGUCUCCCAUGUGGGUGCAGGGCCCAAGGACUUGGGCCAUCCUCCACUGCACUCCCGGGCCACAGCAGAGAGCUGGCCUGCAAGAGGGGCAACCGGGACAGAAUCCGGCGCCCCAACCGGGACUAGAACCCGGUGUGCUGGUGCCGCAGGUGGAAAAUUAGCCUAUUGAGCUGUGGUGCUGGCCUAAAAAGUGAAAUU
Long non-coding RNA from Oryctolagus cuniculus (rabbit), 1228 nucleotides. RefSeq lists it as uncharacterized. NCBI's taxonomy places the organism in Eukaryota, Metazoa, Chordata, Mammalia, Lagomorpha, Leporidae. The record is from RefSeq and is a predicted model, not a curated record.